RNAcentral lists this ribosomal RNA (279 nucleotides) under uncultured bacterium. Its description in RNAcentral is "partial 16S ribosomal RNA". It matches the Rfam family "Bacterial small subunit ribosomal RNA", at positions 506 to 784 of the family's 1533-position model. The record is from RNAcentral.
UGCCAGCCGCCGCGGUAAUACGGAGGGUGCAAGCGUUGUUCGGAAUUAUUGGGCGUAAAGCGCGUGUAGGCGGUUCGUUAAGUCUGAUGUGAAAGCCCGGGGCUCAACCCCGGAAGUGCAUUGGAAACUGGCGAACUUGAGUACGGGAGAGGAAAGUGGAAUUCCGAGUGUAGCGGUGAAAUGCAUAGAUACCAUAAAGAACACCAAUUGCGUAGGCAGCUCACUAGACCAUAACUGACGCUGAGGCACGAAAGCGUGGGGAGCGAACAGGAUUAGAUA